AUGAGCGGGCCACGACUGCGGGAGGAGGCGGCUGUCCCGCACCGUGCACACCCCCACCGUGCACACACACUUCUCACACCCGUGCUCCUCCCACACACGCACCACACGUCUCACAUACACCAUCUCCCACACCACACACACUCCCACACACCCCCACCACACCCCUGCCACACACACAUGCUGCGCACCCACCAUGCACUCAUCGUGCCCGCACACCACACACGUCGCGCACACGCCACACGCCGCACACACAGCAUAUCCCCCGGGCAUCCCAGCCUUGGUGCCUGUGUGCAUCGGGGGACCACAGGCUCUGCGCAGCCCAAAGCUCGGUGCCAGCUUGGGUCCUGCUGCUGUGGCCUCACACGCUGCUGCCCUACAGGCUGCCUCAGUUUCCCCAUCUGUCAAGCGGGGACCCCACUGGUGACACCUCUCUCCCGGGGCUGCGGCGAACCUUACUGCGGUGCUUCGUGUGAAGAGCUACGGGGAGCACCAAGCACAGGCUCAGUAAAAGCUAAUUAUUAUUAUUUGGCACGGGGCCUAUUAGCUGUUCAAUUAACUUUCCUCGCCUUCCCAGCCCCGAGGACUUGCGAACCCAGGCGGCCGCCGGGCCAGGCGCUGAGCACCCCCUUAGUCAGAAGCCCGAGUGGAGACGGAGAAGUGGCGUGCUCCUCCCUCCCCCCGAGGCAGCAACGUCUCGGCACACACCUGGCGGAGCCCCAGCCCCGGUUGUUGUCGGUGAAGAUGAUCAGAGGCUCAGAGGAGACACCAGCGGCCCUGCCUUGGCCCCCUCCUCUCCUUCCCCCCCACUCCCGUCCCCGUGCUCCCACUGCCCCACUCCCCGUCCCUGGUGGGGCUGGAUGGCUGCUGCUCUGCCCCGGGGGACCCCCCCCAGACCUUGCCUCUGGCUCCUGGGCCCUGCCUCUGGGCCGCCCUCCCGGGCCUCCUCGGGUUAGAGGACUGCACCUGCUUCAGGUGGGGCUGCAUCCAGCCGUCGGGGUGUGGCGGCCCGUGGGAAGCGGCUCCGAGGCUCGGCAGGCCUCUGGGCCCCCCGCUUUGGACUUCAAGCCUCGUCUCUGCCCCUCGUGCUGGAGGCUGGAUGGGGAAUUGGGGUAA
RNAcentral lists this long non-coding RNA (1113 nucleotides) under Canis lupus familiaris (dog). RNAcentral's name for it is "lncRNA (ENSCAFG00030005765.1)". The record is from RNAcentral. Lineage: Eukaryota; Metazoa; Chordata; Mammalia; Carnivora; Canidae.